CCUACGGGGGGCAGCAGUGGGGAAUAUUGGACAAUGGGGGCAACCCUGAUCCAGCCAUGCUGCGUGUGUGAAGAAGGCCCUCGGGUUGUAAAGCACUUUCAGUGAGGAAGAACGCCUGGUGGUUAAUACCCAUCAGGAAAGACAUCACUCACAGAAGAAGCACCGGCUAACUCCGUGCCAGCAGCCGCGGUAAUACGGAGGGUGCGAGCGUUAAUCGGAAUUACUGGGCGUAAAGCGCGCGUAGGUGGCUUGAUAAGCCGGUUGUGAAAGCCCCGGGCUCAACCUGGGAACGGCAUCCGGAACUGUCAAGCUAGAGUGCAGGAGAGGAAGGUAGAAUUCCCGGUGUAGCGGUGAAAUGCGUAGAGAUCGGGAGGAAUACCAGUGGCGAAGGCGGCCUUCUGGACUGACACUGACACUGAGGUGCGAAAGCGUGGGUAGCAAACAGGAUUAGAUACCCGUGUAGUC
Molecule: ribosomal RNA, 465 nt
Filed under: Vreelandella stevensii
Lineage: Bacteria; Pseudomonadati; Pseudomonadota; Gammaproteobacteria; Oceanospirillales; Halomonadaceae
Description: partial 16S ribosomal RNA
Rfam family: Bacterial small subunit ribosomal RNA
Source: RNAcentral